UUAUCGGAGAGUUUGAUCCUGGCUCAGGACGAACGCUGGCGGCGUGCUUCACACCUGCAAGUCGAACGAAGCGCCCGGGAGAGCUUGCUCGAAUGGGCGACUUAGUGGCGAACGGGUGAGUAACGCGUGGAUAACCUGCCCCUGAGAUUGGAAUAACAGCCGGAAACAGCUGCU
RNAcentral lists this ribosomal RNA (174 nucleotides) under Gracilibacteraceae bacterium. RNAcentral's name for it is "partial 16S ribosomal RNA". It matches the Rfam family "Bacterial small subunit ribosomal RNA", at positions 1 to 164 of the family's 1533-position model. Lineage: Bacteria; Bacillati; Bacillota; Clostridia; Eubacteriales; Gracilibacteraceae. The record is from RNAcentral.